UGAGGAACAUGACCUUCGGCGGGGGAUAGCCGGCCCAACGGCCGGGUAAUACCGCGUACGACCACUUUGGGACAUCCCUAGGUGGUGAAAGCAGCAAUGCGCCGAUGGAGUGCCUCGCGGCCUAUCAGCUAGUUGGUGAGGUAACGGCUCACCAAGGCGACGACGGGUAGCCGGCCUGAGAGGGCGACCGGCCACACUGGGACUGAGACACGGCCCAGACCUCCGUACGGGGAGCAG
This 237-nucleotide ribosomal RNA is filed under the name uncultured bacterium. Its description in RNAcentral is "partial 16S ribosomal RNA". It matches the Rfam family "Bacterial small subunit ribosomal RNA", at positions 118 to 351 of the family's 1533-position model. The record is from RNAcentral.